UACGUAGGCAGCGAGCGUUGUUCGGAGUUACUGGGCGUAAAGGGUGUGUAGGCGGUUGUUUAAGUUUGGUGUGAAAUCUCCCGGCUUAACCGGGAGGGUGCGCCGAAUACUGAAUGACUAGAGUGCGGGAGAGGAAAGUGGAAUUCCUGGUGUAGCGGUGAAAUGCGUAGAUAUCAGGAGGAACACCGGUGGUGUAGACGGCUUUCUGGACCGUAACUGACGCUGAGACACGAAAGCGUGGGUAGCAAACAG
RNAcentral lists this ribosomal RNA (252 nucleotides) under uncultured bacterium. Its description in RNAcentral is "partial 16S ribosomal RNA". It matches the Rfam family "Bacterial small subunit ribosomal RNA", at positions 524 to 775 of the family's 1533-position model. The record is from RNAcentral.